This 90-nucleotide ribosomal RNA is filed under the name uncultured bacterium. Its description in RNAcentral is "partial 16S ribosomal RNA". The record is from RNAcentral.
UUAAACUCCUGUCAUUAGGGAACAAGUGCCGGCAAUUAACUGUUGCCGGCUUGAUAGUACCUGAAGAGGAAGAGACGGCUAACUCUGUGC